AAUUUAUUAUUGCAACAACGUUGUCUUUACGUGGGGUGUAUUAAACUUAAUGAGUAAAUCUGAAACCAUAACUUUUUUUAAGGAAAAAAAAAAGGAUGAGGGGAAAAAAUUUGUUAUACGAACUGCAGACUUCGUUAAACAAAAAACCGAAACGAAAAUUCACUUUAUUAAAAUCAUGCUAGUCAAUUUAUUACUGCAUUGUCAUCCUGAGCUGUCAACUUGUCAACAACUUUCUUGCGUCGAAUUUCUGUUAUCUCUAUGCAACAUGAAACAUAUUUUACUUCGAGUUAAACUUAAUUUAAAGAAUUCUAUCUUCCGUUCUUAAAUAUUUUAAAAUUUAAAGUGAAAAAGGCGAAAUAUUUGUUUAAAAUCUCCACACGUCAUUUUUUUUCUUUCUUCUUCCGUCUUCGCCAACUCUAUACCGAACAACAAAAUUACUUUCGUAAUUUUGUUGUUCGGGUGUGUAGAGUUUGCGAAAGUCAUAGAUUUCUUAUGCGAUACAAACAUUUCUGAAGAAAGUUAAGAAAAAUAUUAUUAUUAAACUGAGAAUUGACAUCUAAACUUCCUCCAGGAUUUUUUAAAUAAUAAUCAUAAAUAUUUCUACAUUUGGUAAAAUGGCAAAAUUUAAUGACGAAUCACAUCAGCUGAUAAAUAAGCGAACAGAUGUUGGCUAUUUGGCAUUUAUUAUAUUCACUGCGACAUUAAUUAUUCUGUAAGAUGGUUCUCGUAUAUAAUUCGGCAGAAGUUUAUUAAUAAUGAACUAAAUAUCUAGCUAAUGAGUCAUUCUGUACUAAGGCGUGUCCAGACAUUCUUUCGUAGAAAGAAAAAAUAAAAGUUAAACACGAAAUAUGUCUCAAUCGAUGCGUAGUUAAUAUUUAAACUAAACAUCUAGAAUAUCUCACUCGUCUUCGAAUAAUUCAUGAAUGGCACAUUUUUUUCUCAUAGCUUAUAUUUAUACAAAUACAUGUGUCUGGAUACGCAGCAGAUGAAUUGAUAGUUAAGACGUAAUAAUAAUUUUUUCCUCUAACUCUGUAGCAGGCAUUAUUCACUUACAUAUCUCGUAAUACAAUCAAUUUUUCACGAAUUUCGCGAUUUCUCCUUAUAAAAUAAAUCUUAUUAAUUAUCGGAGGCUUCGAUAAUCUACCGCUCUCAUUCUUGCUUACAUAUUGUAAACAGUUUUGAAAGCUCGCUAGGCGAUUGAUCAGCGAGAUAAGUUGUACUCAAUUUGUGGAAGUCGUUUAAAAGUUUUUUUCGUAAUAUACAGACGGAUAAACCUAAUAAUAUAAAUUCCAAUAAAAAGACGAAUUUAAUAACUGGCUCCUAAAAAAUAUUUGGAAUCGAGAGAUGGAGUAAAAUACUUUUCUGCAGAACAUGGAAAAUAUGUUUGGAUAGAUUCAACUGAGUAGAAAAUCAUAUGUUCGCCAAUCUAAUACUUUUCUAUUUUUUUUUUUUUCCUCCCAAUACAUAGAGAAUUAUAAAAGUGGAAAAUCAUUUGGCUUAACACUUUCGCACUAUCGAAAAUACAUCAUUUCGUAGAAAGCGAACUUUUAAAUGAAUGACUUUUCGAUCUUAUCCAAUAAGGAUGAAUUCAAGUAUAAUAGGUUUGUGACUCCCCGGUGACUUUGUCUGAUGAAUCAUUUAUUGGAACUGUCUCCAAGUUUAUUUGGAGCUUACUGCCAUCAACAUCCGACACUCUGGGCCAUUAUAUACCGCUAUAAAUGGGUAUACUCGAUUUUUUAAAAGAAUUCUUCAGAUGUAGAUAUCGUCACUCGAAGUUCAUUUAUCAGCCAGCACCGGAACAAACAAAUUAAAAAAAAUAAGAGUAAUUAUAGUAAACGUGAAUUUCUGGAAAGCAUUUAACGAGUUUAGAUGUUAACCUAAUUGCCAAAUCGAAGGACACGGGGACCAUUCGUAUAAUUAGAGAAAGAGGGAGAAAAUUAAACAUUAAAUUUGCAUAAUUCAUUAUCAUUCCGAACUGUUUUCGAUUUAUACUAAUAUAUAAAAUUAUAAGGCAGAGUUUAAUUAGUAAGUGUGUAUUUGCUAUGUCUUCAUUAUUCAUUCGCGUGGGACGUUCGGUAGUUAUGCACUAACGCCUUCGAUCGAUCUACAACAGGCAUAAUUUAUAAGAGCCAGAAAAUAAACCGCAAAACCUUUCAUUACGUAAUAAUACGGAAUUAAACGAUAAAUCGGGUUAGAAACGUAAUCGAUUUUUUAUAUAUAAUAUAAAAAAAAAAAAACUGUGCGAAAUCGCGAACUACAGACUUAAUUACUAGACAGCAACCAUUUUUCUUUUCCUCGAGUCUGUCAAAUUCUUUUAGCUUUUAUCCGAUUGUCAUCGAUCGUUUUUCUAAUAGAGGAUUUAAUGAUUUUUUUGUGUGUAUGUGUGUGUGAUUUAUUAGAAAAUAACAUCCCACGUCCGAUUGUCAGGAAUAUAAAGCGUUUGUCGACGGAAGCCAUUUUUCUUUUUGAAGUGUACGAUAAACUACUUUUCAUUAAUUUAACCAAUUGAAAACAUCGUUAUAAUGCCUCAUUUGGCGUUUACUCUCUGAAAGCUAAUGACUUUGAUGAGAGGUUAUAAAUUUAAUAACACGUCCCAUUCGGCAUUAACAUCGAUAACCUUCUGAUAGCCGUUUAAUUGUUGUUUAAACUGCGCGAAUAUGUCUGCAGUCGUACUACGAAUAUAUCCGUUAAAGUGGGGGAAAAAUUAAUAAUAACCAUGAUCGUUUAAAGAAUUUAAUGUCUUUUUUUUUAAAUACAAUUGUUUAUCAUUUUUAAAAACGUUUUGGGCGACAAAAAUGAAUUUAUAAUGCGUUAUUGCGUACAUUCGUAAGGUUAAAAGCCUCAAAAGUGCUUUUUGUUUUUAUUAAUCUGUAGCUUGUCGGAUGUAAAUAAACCCGAAUCUAAUGUUUGGUUAUCUCUAAAUUUACUCUCUAAAUUCGAUAUUUCUAGCACUUUUAUGGUUUUAAAAUGCUGAUAUAUAUCACGCAUCUACCUC
Molecule: long non-coding RNA, 2995 nt
Filed under: Androctonus crassicauda
Lineage: Eukaryota; Metazoa; Arthropoda; Arachnida; Scorpiones; Buthidae
Source: RNAcentral